RNAcentral lists this ribosomal RNA (492 nucleotides) under uncultured bacterium. RNAcentral describes it as "partial 16S ribosomal RNA". It matches the Rfam family "Bacterial small subunit ribosomal RNA", at positions 29 to 507 of the family's 1533-position model. The record is from RNAcentral.
AGUGAACGCUGGCGGUAGGCCUAACACAUGCAAGUCGAACGGCAGCACAGUAAGAGCUUGCUCUUACGGGUGGCGAGUGGCGGACGGGUGAGGAAUACAUCGGAAUCUACUUUUUCGUGGGGGAUAACGUAGGGAAACUUACGCUAAUACCGCAUACGACCUACGGGUGAAAGCAGGGGAUCUUCGGACCUUGCGCGAUUGAAUGAGCCGAUGUCGGAUUAGCUAGUUGGCGGGGUAAAGGCCCACCAAGGCGACGAUCCGUAGCUGGUCUGAGAGGAUGAUCAGCCACACUGGAACUGAGACACGGUCCAGACUCCUACGGGAGGCAGCAGUGGGGAAUAUUUGGCAAAGGGCGCAAGCCUGAUCCAGCCAUACCGCGUUGGUGAAGAAGGCCUUCGGGUUGUAAAGCCCUUUUGUUGGGAAAGAAAAGCAGCAGGUUAAUACCCCGCUGUUCUGACGGUACCCAAAGAAUAAGCACCGGCUAACUUCGUG